GAUGAAGAACGCAGCGAAAUGCGAUACUUGGUGUGAAUUGCAGAAUCCCGUGAACCAUCGAGUCUUUGAACGCAAGUUGCGCCCGAAGCCAUUAGGCCGAGGGCACGCCUGCCUGGGCGUCACACGUCGUUGCCCCCCCAUCUACUCCUUCGGGAUUGCGGGGGGCGGAUGAUGGCCUCUCGUGCGCCUCGUCGCGCGGUUGGCCUAAAUGCCAAGUCCUCGGCGACGCACGCCACGACAAUCGGUGGUUGCGAAACCUCGGUUGCCUGUCGUGUGCGGUCGUCGCGCAUCGAGGGCUCGAAAAAAUUGCCGGGCUUCGGCUCGACUUUCAACGCGACCCCAGGUCAGGCGGGGUUACCCGCUGAAUUUAAGCAUAUCAAUAAGCGGAGAA
This 391-nucleotide unclassified non-coding RNA is filed under the name soil metagenome. RNAcentral describes it as "partial contains 5.8S ribosomal RNA, internal transcribed spacer 2, and large subunit ribosomal RNA". The stretch from base 1 to 122 matches the Rfam family "5.8S ribosomal RNA", at positions 35 to 154 of the family's 154-position model. The record is from RNAcentral.